This is a long non-coding RNA of Pezoporus flaviventris, 1944 nucleotides long. RefSeq lists it as uncharacterized. The transcript has 2 exons. The record is from RefSeq and is a predicted model, not a curated record. Lineage: Eukaryota; Metazoa; Chordata; Aves; Psittaciformes; Psittacidae.
UCUGUGCCUGUGGAUAACUGAGUGUCUGUACAUACACGGAUGCACAGGCUCUUUGGAGGCUGUCGGGAGUGUGGCUGUGUUGGAAGAGCUUCAGCAGGAGGAGGUUCUGCAUGGGGGUGCUGGCGGGAGCAGCAAUCACAGGCGUGCACUGAUGAACUCAUGUGUUGAUCCAGUCCAGGAGGGAUAAAUGCCUGUGCUGUGAAAUGCAAAAAAAGCCUUGGUAAUCUGAGACAAAGCUUUCUGUUUAACAGAAAAGGCCAAUGAGAUAAUUUCAAUGACUCAAGAUUUAGUUAGAAUGUUCCAUAUUUAUUGAGAAUAUUCUGUACUGUCCAGACAUUUCCCUGCAGUUCGAAUACCCUACAUAAAGCACAGUUGCUGCUUUUGGAUUCCCUGUUCUCUCUGUGUGAAUUGCUAAUCCUCGGCUAAAAGCCAGUUAGUCUCAGUUUGACCAGUGUUCCUCAGUCUCAGUUUGACCAGUAUUCCACCCCUCUUCCCUCCACUUCCCAACAACUCCAAGAAAUCUGCUGACUGGUUACUCUGAAAACCUGAAAAUAAGCCAUGCUGAAGUGGUGACAAAUUCCCUAAACCAGAAACUCCACUUUAAAAUGAUUGGUGUGUCUGAGUGGGUCUCUUUUUUCCUUUGUUUUUUAUCAAGUUAGAUGGUUUUACCCAGCAGGGAAAACUGAGAAAUCCAGAAUGGAGUCAUAUUAAAACAAAAAGAAUAUUAGCUACAGGAUGCUGGAUGUCUGCCCACCUGCCUGGUGCUCAAUACAGCGUUGUUUCUUUGCCUGAGUAUGGGAAGACGCUGAACCUGUCUGCUUAAGUUACUGAGAAUCCUUCAUGAGGGUUGGAUGUGUGUGACCACCAGUGAUUACUGUGUUGUGAGGUUUCUCCCAUGCACAGGUUCAUGCUGCCAGCUCGGUUGUCCUCUAAAUGAUAAGCAAGUUCUUUAGCAAAAAUUGGAGGUCAGGGUGGGAGCCUGCUUGGUCAGGGGGAUUACAGCAAAACAGCAAUGGGAUUUCAAGGCUUUUCCUACCCGGAGGGACUGGCAAUAUCACCACCAGGCAACCUCCCCCCUACCCACUCAAAUGAGAUACAGCAGUUUAUCAUGUCAAGCCUUGCUGCUGAGCGCUGUGUCUAGGGCCUCUGGCUGUCAGAGGCAGGAUUUCAUCUUGGGGUCCCUAAGGCCAUAUAGAAAGCCUAAAAUGUUCAUUUAUGUUUCUUAUUGUCUGGCCAAAUCUGUGUGUGCUUAAAAAAUAUCCAGAAGUUUAAAGGCUAAUCCCUGAUUAUUGUGGUUUAGGAAUUUAAUUGGCAUUAUAAAAAGUUAAAUACAUUUAUAGUUAUAAGCAGCAAUGUCUUUGUCAGCUCUUAGUUACUCGAUAUAAACUGUUUAUAUACAAAAUGUUUCCUUCUGUGAUGUUACUUUCGGAGCUCAAUCUCUCAUUACUGUUUUGCAAAGCAGCUGCAUUAAAGAUAAAUAUCACUAUAAGGGUCUAAUUCAUAGAGGUAUCUGUAAAGAUGGAUGUGCAGUGCACGAGUACUUACACAUAGGGGAAUUUGCACCUUGGUUUAUCAGGAUUUGUGAUAUGUUUGUGAUCACAGAUGCUGCGGACAGUAUUCCUGUAAUCAUCACCGUGUUUCUAACAUAUAGAUUUAUGUGCUUUAUGUAUAUCUGCAGUGUAUCUCUGUAGCCAUAACUUAAUCUGCUGUUCAGAAUUUAUUUCAGCUUUCCACAUGAGCUCUUUUAAACCACGUUAAUUGUUGCAGAACCCAAAUCGUUGAUGAUAACUCUUUUAGGAAUUGUCAUGUUGUCUAUAAAUAUUUAGCGACUGGAUUGUAUUUGCCAGUGUAUUCCUGUAUUACAGAUGAAAAGGUAGCAUCUGCUGAAAUUAAAAGUGGCCACAUUUUCGCUGUAGCUUAAUUAAAUGCCAAAAUUUAUCUACA